GGAAUAAGAAAAGAGAAUUCGAUGACAAAGCGGGUCGCGGCAGAUAAGAAUGAUUGGGAAACGGGAGCAGAAAUAUAUCUGGGAAAACAAUUUAUCGCGAGACAAGUUGCCGUGGCAAAUAACGGAGUGCACUCUUGACCCAAUGAAAGAAAUGAUACGCUUUGACGAGCGAAACUGGGGGGAUUGGUUACCGUCUUCUGGUCAUCCGAUUGUUGCGAUUCCCGUCCCCAGAUUAAUCGCGCUCUUUAUACUCAUCUGCCGACGCUAUAUUGCAUUCCGUUCCCCGGAUUUAUUUCGCCUCGCGAUAUCGACGAGAGUUAUAUAGAGAUCUUAUAGUCUCACGAGAGUCGUAUUGAAGAUACGUGGAUCGAGUGUCGUUAUUAUUUCUUCUCUCGUGUUUGUCGUGGUUUCCUUAAAAGUGAUCAUCAAUUUCAACUUGAUAUUAAUUAAAGCAAAUAUUGAGAUAUAAACAAAAGGAUCUUCGAUAUAUAAAGAAUUUUCAAAUUGAAAAGGUUCUCGGUGAUAUAACAAAGAUGAGAUUUCAACUUUAUAUUCUUCAUCUUUGCUUCUUUGUGCUUGUUGUGUUGACGUACCUUUCCCAGGGACAGUUGACAACAACAACAACCACAACCGAGGAGCCUGCCACUUUUCUACAAAAGAUGCACGAAGCGUUCAAAAAAGUGAAGGAAAACGCGAAAAUUUCUAAUUUUCAUUUCUUCGACCCGUCAACUUGGAUGCCCACGACAACAACUACGGAGAAAAAUCCAGAAGAAUUAACCGAAAGUUUCGAUAUAACGAACAGGCAACUGAUUACAGUUCCUGUCAGAUGCCCGCCCAAUUUUGACUUCAUAAAGGGAAGGUGUCGCGAGAAAAUUCUAUAAAUUUUCUUUAAUUCUUCUACCAAUCUUCCAGAUAUAUUAUACAUCGACAUAUUAUUUCAAUUCACGUAAUAUAUAAUAAAAAAUACUAAUUCUCAUUCCUGUUUUACAAAUAGCCUUCGUAAAGGUACACAGAAAAGUGCUAAAAAAAAAGAGAUAAUUCUUCCUUGUAACAACGUUAUUAAAUAAAAUAUAAUCGAUCAAAAUCGAUACAUUAUUACACACACACACAGUUAUCAUGCAAUUUCAUUUUUGUUUUGAAACGUUACACGAUGUUACACGAUCGUCACGUUUGAUCAUCCCAAGGGAGAUGCGACGCAAUUAUCGAACGCUUGUCUCGCGUGGAGUUUCGUGGAAACUUGACAACAACUGCGAAUGAGAUGCGAAAGGGGAGAGAAAUAUCGGGGUAGUAGGUCUACCCGCGAAGCGAGCGAACUUUACGAGGGCCGAUGAAUCUUGCGUGAAAUGAAAUGUGAAAAACUUAUGGAAUAAAGGUUCCGUGUAAUUUUACGGGGAGGGGGGCAAGGAAUCUUCCGCUAAAUGAAAUGUGAAAUGACCUCUGAGUGAAACCGUUUCAACUCGAAUAAGAAACUCGAUCCACGAAAGUUCGAGCAACGUGAUCCCGAAUAAUCACGAUCGAGCGUAAUAAUUUUGAUGAAUUUUAAUUCCAGUUAACACAAACGAGCAGAAUAAUUGAAGUUCCACGAAGGAAGUAAGAAUUAAUUAACGAAAAAAAAAAAAAAAAUAAAGACAAGGUUACGUAAAAUUAAUAAACUGUCUUAAAAUUGAAACUUCUUAAAAUUUAUAAAAAACAUAAUUUGUAAUAUUAAUCAAUUUGUGACUCGUAAAAUUUUUAAGAUAAUUUUUUAAAAUCGAUGAUUACAAAAUUGAAGCGCAGGAACAACAUUCGACCAAUUACCGGUCAGGUAAAUUAAUUCAAUUUCGCAGGUUCUCAUGUUAGUCACCAGAGAAAAAUACGCGAUACGAUCUGAUCAGAUAGGGAUCGAGGUCUCUUUGCAAACGCGACGAAGGCACGAGAGAGAGAAAUGGCCGAAAAAUUCGCUCGCCGUCCCCUCCCCCGACACUUAUCGUAAUCGUUCAUUAACCAAACACCACACUUUUCUCGGCCAAUUAUCAAUUACGAUCGUUGUAACUUGAUUCAUGCUCGUUUCGCGUGACACACGUUUCCGCGAACGUGGCGCAACAAAACUUCGAAUUAAAAUUCCACGAUUACACGCCGAUAAUAAGAAAUACGUGUGUAUACAGCGAGUGAAUGCACACAAUAUAGUUUUUCACAGAGAACGAACGCGUAUAUAUAUAUGGAGAUGGAAUGGAAAAGAAUGAAAGGGGAGCAACCGAAUUUGCGUGAUUGCUAAUUGUGGACGUAGAACCUUUGGCGACGUACUCUCCUCCUUUUCCUCUUGUGUUCGCGUAUUCAAGUCGGCCAGAUUUUGUACUCAUUGUCAGAAAGUAAAGACCUCCUCGACACUUGUUGCUCGCCAUCGACAUUUGUCUGCGCGUUCCACUGUUAUAUACGCGUGUGCAUUUCGCUUUCGUGGUUGCAUUCUUUGUCAAGUUGUAUGUGUAGAUGUAUAGAAUGACUCGAACAUGUACAGAGAGAGAGAGAGAGGGGGGGGAGGGUAGUUAGAACGACUUGAUAAUAUAGAAUACCUUACUAUUCUUCAUUUCUCUUAUUCUCUUUGAAUUGUACGACAAAUGUCUAUAAAAUAAGUAUCCGUUAUUGUCAAUUAUGUGUACGUUGUAUCUCUGAGCGUUUAAUCGAAACUGUUCUUCGUGUGAAAAAGAGAAGAUUUUUCUGUAUGUACAAUAUUUUAUCCUUUUCUUUUGCAUUCUUAUUUAAUCAUCGACGAAUGCAAUUCCUUUUUCGUGUUCGAGGGUGGUUUAAAAGUGAUAACGUUUGUUGGAUUUGGGUUAAGUGUGAAUCAAGAAUAGAUUAGAUCAAACUUAACUAGUACUUAGCUAUGAUACAGUUUCCUUAAUAUUGCUCGUGAUCACGUAACUGUAGAGGAAAAGAAGUAGCAGAAGUGCAAUAGCAAACGAAUUUUUGUGAAUCUUUCUUCUUGUUCCAUAUAAUUUUUUUUAGAUAGAAUUGAAAAAUUGCAUUUUGUAACGAGUUUAUUUAAAAUUAUUAAAGUCAAAAUAAAAGAGGAUAUAUUUUCACAGAAAUACUUACAAGUUGAUGGAUAUAAUUUGAAAGAUGUUGUAAGCUGAAUUCGUUUAAAUCCUGAAGUUAAUCUAAUUUAGAAUAUAAUGGGAGAGUUAAGAUUAGCGUGAAUUAGUAAGGAUUAGACAUAAAUUCGGAUCUAACUUGAGAUCGUUUAAAUUUCGGGCUAAAUUUUCCCGAUAAAAUUUUUAUAUUAAAUAUUACGUACGGUCGAUCAAAUUAUAAUCGAUAAGCAGUUUCACAAGAUCGAGCGUUCAAUUGUUUAAUAACGGGUGACAAUUUUUCGCCGGUCAGGAAAAGUCAUAAAAUUAAUUCGUAUUUAUUUUUAAAACAAAUGAAUCGAGCGAAAAAUUUUAUUUCUGCUUUAUUGGAUUUGGCUUCAAUGUUUCAGAAAGAUAACGUUUCGCACGCCAGAGUAUAUUUAACGAGGUGGUAAAUACACGAGAGAUAUACAAUAUUCGAUUCUAUAUAUAUAAACGCGUCAUUUUCCAAUUUGUCGAUACGAUAUUUAAAAACUAUAGUUUCAUUAAACUUUCUCUCUCUCUCUCUCUCUCUCCUCAUAAAUUCUAUACGUUCAAUUGAGUCGAUUCCAGUGUAAAAUUUUCGAAAAAAAUGUCGUGUAAAUGAACGAACAUCGUAAAGAAAUAUCGAUAUGAGUGAAUUUCAUUCGUUAUUCGAAUUAAAUGGGCAAAAUUUCCUUUCGAUCGCCAUAAUUUUCCAACUUGUCGUCCGAGUGUCGUUCAAAAUUGCGAACACGAGGGCGAAUAGUGAAAAAAAAA
Molecule: long non-coding RNA, 3842 nt
Filed under: Apis mellifera (honey bee)
Lineage: Eukaryota; Metazoa; Arthropoda; Insecta; Hymenoptera; Apidae
Description: uncharacterized LOC100576841
Source: RNAcentral